CCUACGGGUGGCAGCAGUGGGGAAUAUUGCACAAUGGGGGAAACCCUGAUGCAGCGACGCCGCGUGAGUGAAGAAGUAAUUCGUUAUGUAAAGCUCUAUCAGCAGGGAAGAAAAUGACGGUACCUGAGUAAGAAGCCCCGGCUAACUACGUGCCAGCAGCCGCGGUAAUACGUAGGGGGCAAGCGUUAUCCGGAUUUACUGGGUGGAAAGGGAGCGUAGACGGCAGUGCAAGUCUGGAGUGAAAGGCGGGGGCUCAACCCCCGGACUGCUCUGGAAACUGUAUGGCUGGAGUGCAGGAGAGGUAAGUGGAAUGCCUGGUGUAGCGGUGAAAUGCGUAGAUAUUAGGAGGAACACCAGUGGCGAAGGCGGCUUACUGGACUGUAACUGACGUUGAGGCUCGAAAGCGUGGGGAGCAAACAGGAUUAGAUACCCUAGUAGUC
Molecule: ribosomal RNA, 440 nt
Filed under: uncultured bacterium
Lineage: Bacteria
Description: partial 16S ribosomal RNA
Rfam family: Bacterial small subunit ribosomal RNA
Source: RNAcentral